This 374-nucleotide ribosomal RNA is filed under the name uncultured bacterium. RNAcentral's name for it is "bacterial SSU rRNA". It matches the Rfam family "Bacterial small subunit ribosomal RNA", at positions 524 to 898 of the family's 1533-position model. The record is from RNAcentral.
CACGUAGGGGGCGAGCGUUGUCCGGAAUUACUGGGCGUAAAGGGCGUGUAGGCGGCCAUGUAUGUCAGGUGUGAAAUGCCACGGCUUAACCGAGGCACUGCACAUGAAACUGCAUGGCUUGAGUGCAGGAGAGGGAAGUGGAAUUCCUAGUGUAGCGGUGAAAUGCGUAGAUAUUAGGAGGAACACCAGUGGCGAAGGCGACUUCCUGGACUGUAACUGACGCUGAGGCGCGAAAGCGUGGGUAGCAAACAGGAUUAGAUACCCUGGUAGUCCACGCUGUAAACGAUGGGUACUAGGUGUGGGUAGUUCACUCUAUCCGUGCCGCAGCAAACGCAAUAAGUACCCCGCCUGGGGAGUACGGCCGCAAGGUUGAA